GGAUAACUUACCCUUAGGACUGGGAUAACUCUGGGAAACUGGGGAUAAUACUGGAUAUUAGGCUAUGCCUGGAAUGGUUUGCCUUUGAAAUGUUUUUUUUCGCCUAAGGAUAGGUCUGCGGCUGAUUAGGUCGUUGGUGGGGUAAUGGCCCACCAGGCCGAUGAUCGGUACGGGUUGUGAGAGCAAGGGCCCGGAGAUGGAACCUGAGACAAGGUUCCAGACCCUACGGGGUGCAGCAGGCGCGAAACCUCCGCAAUGUACGAAAGUGCGACGGGGGGAUCCCAAGUGUUAUGCUUUUUUGUAUGACUUUUCAUUAGUGUAAAAAGCUUUUAGAAUAAGAGCUGGGCAAGACCGGUGCCAGCCGCCGCGGUAACACCGGCAGCUCGAGUGGUAGCUGUUUUUAUUGGGCCUAAAGCGUUCGUAGCCGGUUUGAUAAGUCUUUGGUGAAAGCUUGUAGCUUAACUAUAAGAAUUGCUGGAGAUACUAUUAGACUUGAAGUCGGGAGAGGUUAGAGGUACUACCGGGGUAGGGGUGAAAUCCUAUAAUCCUGGGAGGACCACCUGUGGCGAAGGCGUCUAACUGGAACGAUCUUGACGGUGAGUAACGAAAGCCAGGGGCGCGAACCGGAUUAGAUACCCGGGUAGUCCUGGCCGUAAACGAUGUGGACUUGGUGUUGGA
This 678-nucleotide ribosomal RNA is filed under the name uncultured archaeon. RNAcentral describes it as "bacterial SSU rRNA". It matches the Rfam family "Archaeal small subunit ribosomal RNA", at positions 102 to 778 of the family's 1478-position model. The record is from RNAcentral.